RNAcentral lists this ribosomal RNA (208 nucleotides) under uncultured Sulfuricurvum sp. RNAcentral describes it as "partial 16S ribosomal RNA". It matches the Rfam family "Bacterial small subunit ribosomal RNA", at positions 568 to 775 of the family's 1533-position model. The record is from RNAcentral. Lineage: Bacteria; Pseudomonadati; Campylobacterota; Epsilonproteobacteria; Campylobacterales; Sulfurimonadaceae.
UGCGUAGGCUGACUUUUAAGUCAGACGUGAAAUCCAAUGGCUUAACCAUUGAACUGCGUUUGAAACUGGGAGUCUAGAGUUCAGAAGGGGCAGAUGGAAUUAGUGGUGUAGGGGUAAAAUCCGUAGAUAUCACUAGGAAUAUCAAAAGCGAAGGCGAUCUGCUGGGAUGAUACUGACGCUGAGGCACGAAAGUGUGGGGAGCAAACAG